Bradysia coprophila is the source of this 3445-nucleotide long non-coding RNA. NCBI's taxonomy places the organism in Eukaryota, Metazoa, Arthropoda, Insecta, Diptera, Sciaridae. The record is from RefSeq and is a predicted model, not a curated record.
AUUGUCAUUUCAGUUGUCAAACACAAAAUAGGAGACACACGCAUUUUCUAUUCGGUCGACAGUGGUUUUAUAAGCAUUAAAUUUAAGAUUUUAGAGUUAAAAACAAAUAACUCCGACAAAAAUCAAACCUAAAGUCGUCAAUUUUCCAGCUCUCUUCGAAGGAGGUGAAGACAGUUGAUAUGACGAUGGUAUGGUGAUAACGAUAAACUAGGAUAAACAUUACAUGCCACACAGACGUCACUAGCAGCCGAUUUGGAUUUAGUUCAUAUAAUGUGCUAACGAGUGCAGUGUUCAAGUACAUAUUUUAUAACCGAAAUCGAAAAUUGUUUGUGUAAUUGAUUGUAAAAGAAAAUGUAAAACACAAUUGAUAUUUGAAUAUUGUGAACGAAUUGAAUGGAAAUCAGUGAACUUGAUAAGAGGAUUGCGAAAAAAAAAAAUAUUGCUUAACUUGGAGGUGCUCUGUGUUCGGUGUUUGAUGAAAAGAACCAAUAUUGUGUGAGUGUGUUACGACUACUAGCCGCUAUAAUGGAGCAGGCAUCGUCAACGACAACAGCAACCACUUCAACGAAUGCCGACGCACAUCAGAACGAUUUCUAUAACACCGGUCGGGUGGGACGACGGAAUGCGUUGCCCGACAUAUUAAACAGUCACUGUACAACAUCAACGGCUGAUUUGCCGGACAAAUUAAGUGCUCUAACUACCAACGAUCCUCUGGAGGCGAAUACAUCCACACAAUCCGGAUCGAAUGCGGAUCAUGCGAGUGCAUCUACAGAUCUUAUGAACAAUACGUGAAGGUGAGAGGUAUGAUUUUUGAUUUGUUUGCUAGGGGGUGUAGGAAGAAAUUUUCCUUAACAUUAACAAACCAAAAAACAAACAAAAAAAGACGAAACAGGACUCAGUCAAUUUGCCUCAAUUUGGUCAGCAAACAACUGAAUUUCAGCAAUGUAACCGUAAUUAUACAUCAAUUAAGAGUAGAUUUUUCAUUAAGAAUAUUUAGCGAAAGCCAGCCAAAAAGAAAUUGAUUUUUUUUUAAAUGUAUUUCGAUGGUAAAUUUACCUAUUAUGAAUAUAAGGAACCGAUAUGAUGGUCGAUGACCAGACCACAGGAGAUACAUACAAUAUUGUAACGAUACACCUCGUAUAGAUGUAAUUAUAAUUAAUUAGAGUAAAAACAAAAAAAAAACAAAUUUAUUGAUUUCUUUGUUGUGUGUACGUCUGAACGGUAUAGAAAGUGUAACAAAAUAUUUCUCAGCAACAACAACAAGAACAUUCAUUAGGUUUAUGUUGGUCACUGGACAGAAUUAUGGGUAUGAUAACGAUACUAAAAUACACAUUUUUUCGGCUACACAUUUUGAACUAUUGAUUUUGUUUCAAAUUAAAACUCUAAUUUGUUUGUAUCAUGCGACCCUGAAACAUAUUUCCUGAAUCUUUCGGACGAUGACUCGUACAUAUUGAGGGGACGGUUAGCCGACUUACAUCUUUUUCCUAGAUAAUAAAUGUUUUUCCGAUUUGUUAAUGGCAUACAUUUGAAAUUAGUCAUUUUCGUAUUGACAUUACAACGUAUAGGCAUAAUUGACACUACAAGCACGCUUCCCGCAUUUAAGCAUACGAAAGUCGAAUUGUCCAAGUUGGAAGGAUAGUUGAGAGAAAUGCAUCAACCGAAAAAUUUUUAUCUGGGAAAUGUCUUUUUGUGAUGGUAAGUGCAUAACUCUCUUCAGUUGAUGCAUGGAAAUUUUUCUUAUCUGUCCGUAAAAACCUAGAAAUCCAAUCCGUCCGAAUUCUAAUGAUACGAAACUAAACGAAAACAGAUUCGACUUUUUCCUUGGUCACCAGAAGGAACCCUUACUCUGUAAAAGCUAACAAAAAUCAUGAAGUAGAAUCCCGCUCUUUAUUAUAGUUUAGUGCUUGUCUACACUUAGACAGAGGGAUUCUUUUGAAAAACAGAAGAUCGAAAUCGGACGCAUUUUCCAGUGGAAUUUUUUAUAUGGGCCUAGAAAGGUAUUAGCCCUAGAAGCCAAAGCCGAUUUUCAAAAAAUUCUUUGAACCUUGUUUGUCUAGUGUGAGGUGACCAAAAACCGAAAACAUGCACUUUUCUUACAGAAAUUUCUCCAGUUACACGAGCCGUACAAGGUCGUGUGGGGUGUCAUUAGAAAGGUAAUUGCAUGUACUUUCGGGGCAAAUAGGGUCUUAUUUGGUUAAAGAUAUUCAUCCACGCUGAGAUAUGUGCAGUUGAAACCUGAAAACUUAUGCUUUUCUUACAGAAAAUUCUCGAGGAGCACGAAACGUACGUGGUCGUGUGGGGUGUCAUUAGAAACGUAAUUUUAUGUUCUUUCAGGACAACGAGAGUGUUAAGGAGUUUUUUAGGUCUCUUUUCACGUGACACCUCUUGGUUCAUUGUUUAGUUUGUCCUGUACAUUUCUCGAUCAAGUGACUCUUGUUCCAAAACAAACUAUUCUCGAUAGUCACCCCCCUAAUAUACCACCAAAUGGUGACCACCGAUAUUGUAUAUAAUAUAUUCACAAUAAUGAUAGCAAAGCUAAAUUUCCGUCUGACUGUCUCAGUUCAGGUACCAACGAUUUCCAUUUGCUUGUGUGUAUUUAAUGCUCACUCUCCCGAGAACCGUAUUGCUAUUCAUUUAUGCAAAUUUAAUGGAUAUCGUGCAGGACCUGUUUAUCCAACCAAAAACAGGAAAAAUGUGAUGUUGUUAUUUUGAAAAAUUAUGUUAUUAUACACGAUCUGAAAGGCGUUGAGAUUAUAUAUAUAUUUGACUGUUACUUAUUAUAUGUUCACUUAAAAGAAAGAAAAAAGGUUGACUGGCCAGAAAUAGGAAAUAAAAAUGUACGUUAAGAACGAAUAGUAACGACUUCACCGCACACGAUAUUAUCACUAAAAGAAAAAAGAUUUUUUUUGAUAGGAGUUAACCAGACACAGCCAAAUUGAGUCGGUCUUUGGAACUUUUAACGGAAUAAUUUCGUGUGAUGUGAGGGCCGUUCAUAAAUUAGGUAACGCAAAAAUCAAAAUUUUCGAAACCUCCCCGUUCGUGGAAAUGAUAAUGAUAACUUAAAAAAAAUAUGGUCCGUCACGCAAGCCUUACACCCCUAAUCCCCAUUUUGCGUUACGUAAUUUUUGAACGACCUCUUGGUGGAUAAAACAUAACGAAGGGCACAAGUACCAUUAUUUGUAGAAGUAACGAAGUUUUGAUUUUGGUUUGUGCUUGUUAAUCCAUAGACUAUAGUUUCGGAUAGUAAUUUAUUUUUGCAAAAUUUAGAAUGAGAAAUUUAUUUAUUUACGAAUAAUAUUUAUGUGACUAAAAUAAGUAACAACAAAAAUUAAUUGUAAACAAUUAAAGCAGAAGAACUUUGACUUAAUUUCAAACAAUUUAAUUUGUAUCUUAAAUUUAGAUUAUCAUUUUUAGAUAAGCUGAAACAAUAAAUUUUAUGAUUUCA